UGGGGUAUAGCUCAGUGGUAGAGCACGUGCUUAGUAUGUGUGAAGUCCUGGAUUCAAUCCCCAGUACCUCCA
RNAcentral lists this transfer RNA (72 nucleotides) under Camelus dromedarius (Arabian camel). It matches the Rfam family "tRNA". From Rfam's summary of the family: Transfer RNA (tRNA) molecules are approximately 80 nucleotides in length. Their secondary structure includes four short double-helical elements and three loops (D, anti-codon, and T loops). The record is from Rfam by way of RNAcentral. RNAcentral also lists the same sequence under 2 other names. Lineage: Eukaryota; Metazoa; Chordata; Mammalia; Artiodactyla; Camelidae.